AUACGUAGGUGGCAAGCGUUGUCCGGAAUUAUUGGGCGUAAAGCGCGCGCAGGCGGUCCUUUAAGUCUGAUGUGAAAGCCCACGGCUCAACCGUGGAGGGUCAUUGGAAACUGGGGGACUUGAGUGCAGGAGAGAAGAGUGGAAUUCCACGUGUAGCGGUGAAAUGCGUAGAGAUGUGGAGGAACACCAGUGGCGAAGGCGACUCUUUGGCCUGUAACUGACGCUGAGGCGCGAAAGCGUGGGGAGCAAACAGGAUUAGAUACCCUGGUAGUCCACGCCGUAAACGAUGAGUGCUAAGUGUUAGAGGGUUUCCGCCCUUUAGUGCUGCAGCAAACGCAUUAAGCACUCCGCCUGGGGAGUACGGCCGCAAGGCUGAA
Molecule: ribosomal RNA, 377 nt
Filed under: uncultured bacterium
Lineage: Bacteria
Description: bacterial SSU rRNA
Rfam family: Bacterial small subunit ribosomal RNA
Source: RNAcentral